UGGGGAAUUUUGCGCAAUGGGCGAAAGCCUGACGCAGCGACGCCGCGUGUGCGAUGAAGGCCCUUGGGUCGUAAAGCACUGUCGACCGGGACGAAAACUCGCGAGUUAAUACCUCGCGAGCUUGACGGUACUGGUAAAGGAAGCACCGGCUAACUCUGUGCCAGCAGCCGCGGUAAUACAGAGGGUGCAAACGUUGCUCGGAAUUAUUGGGCGUAAAGCGCGUGUAGGCGGUCUGUUAGGCCGACCGUGAAAUCCCAUGGCUCAACCAUGGAAGGGCGGUCGGAACCGGCAGACUAGAGUUCUGACGAGGGUGGCGGAAUUCCCAGUGUAGAGGUGAAAUUCGUAGAUAUUGGGAGGAACACCGGUGGCGAAGGCGGCCACCUGGGAAGCGACUGACGCUGAGACGCGAAAGCGUGGGGAGCAAACAG
Molecule: ribosomal RNA, 428 nt
Filed under: uncultured bacterium
Lineage: Bacteria
Description: bacterial SSU rRNA
Rfam family: Bacterial small subunit ribosomal RNA
Source: RNAcentral